UUAAUUGAGAGUUUGAUCCUGGCUCAGGACGAACGCUGGCGGCGCGCUUAACACAUGCAAGUCGAGCGAUGAAAUUUUAACAGAACCCUUCGGGGCGAAGAUAAAAUGGAUUAGCGGCGGACGGGUGAGUAACACGUGAGUAACCUGCCUUAGACAUUGGGAUAGCCUCGGGAAACCGGGAUUAAUACCGAAUAACAUCACAUAGACACAUGUCCUUGUGAUCAAAACUCCGGUGGUCUAAGAUGGACUCGCGUCCCAUUAGCUAGUUGGUAAGGUAACGGCCUACCAAGGCGACGAUGGGUAGCC
RNAcentral lists this ribosomal RNA (306 nucleotides) under Peptoniphilus grossensis. RNAcentral describes it as "partial 16S ribosomal RNA". It matches the Rfam family "Bacterial small subunit ribosomal RNA", at positions 1 to 288 of the family's 1533-position model. Lineage: Bacteria; Bacillati; Bacillota; Tissierellia; Tissierellales; Peptoniphilaceae. The record is from RNAcentral.